UUUUAGUCGAAAAAGAUGUUAAAGAUGCUUAAAACCUGUUAUAUAAAUAUGUAUUAUUAUCUAUUUUUUUAUGUUACACACCCAAAUAUCCGAAGUUUAUGGUGCGUUGAGGUCUCGGUAAACAGAUAUAUUAUUUUCUUUCCAGGACACGCGUUUAACCUGUGACCUGUCCACUUUGACCAUAGCCCAGUGAUUAGCGAAAAUUAUCCAGUUAACCACUUACAAAGGCCGUGCAUCCACCAACGGUCCAAGUACGUCUAUCUUGGACAUAUAAUUUGCGUUUAUCGGAGAGGACCUUGUCUGCUCACGACGAGAAGGUUGCAGAAAAGAGAGGUGUCCCUGAAAAUGGUAUGACAUCGAAUCUGGCUUCAGACUACCUACCGAGAGUAGUAGGACCCACCUACUACUACUACUACUACUACUACUACUACUACUACUACUGAGUGGAUUUUAGACUGCUACACUACCACGAGUUACGCCGGAAGUACCACGAAUUAUAAACUCAUAUGAAAAGAGCUGAAUUACGAUGUUGUUGUCAUAGUAAGAGUACGACUCACAAACCUGCUAGCUGUUGUGCAAAGAGCAGUUUGACGUAUUCCGGGAUUGUCUUCAGAUAGUAGCGUUGUCACGAAUUUCGAUAUAACAUUAUUACCACACAAACAAACCCCCCAAAAACCAUUGUAGAUAACGGCAUUAACACGAACCGCCUAGAGAAGCCAUUAUUACCACAUGUCACGAAAGCUUCUAUUAUUAUUACCACGAGUCACGAAAGCCUGUAUUAUUAUUACCACGAGUCACGAAAGCCUGUAUUAAUAUUACCAAAAGUGACGAAAGCCUGUAUUAAUGUUACCACGAGUCAAAAAAGUUUAUAUUAAUAUUACCACAAGUGACGAAAGCCUGUAUUAAUAUUACCACUAGUCACGAAAGCCUGUAUUAAUAUUACCACGAGUCACGAAAGCCUGUAUUAAUAUUACCACGAGUCACGAAAGCCUGUAUUAAUAUUGCCAAAAGUGACGAAAGCCUGUAUUAAUGUUACCACGAGUCAAAAAAGUUUAUAUUAAUAUUACCACAAGUGACGAAAGCCUGUAUUAAUAUUACCACUAGUCACGAAAGCCUGUAUUAAUAUUACCACUAGUCACGAAAGCCUGUAUUAAUAUUACCAAAAGUGACGAAAGCCUGUAUUUAUAUUACCACUAGUCACGAAAGCCUGUAUUAAUAUUACCACUAGUCACGAAAGCCUGUAUUAAUAUUACCACGAGUCACGAAAGCCUGUAUUAAUAUUACCAAAAGUGACGAAAGCCUGUAUUAAUGUUACCACGAGUCAAAAAAGUUUAUAUUAAUAUUACCACAAGUGACGAAAGCCUGUAUUAAUAUUACCACUAGUCACGAAAGCCUGUAUUAAUAUUACCACUAGUCACGAAAGCCUGUAUUAAUAUUACCACUAGUCACGAAAGCCUGUAUUAAUAUUACCAAAAGUGACGAAAGCCUGUAUUAAUGUUACCACGAGUCAAAAAAGUUUAUAUUAAUAUUACCACAAGUGACGAAAGCCUGUAUUAAUAUUACCACGAGUCAAGAACGCCUGUAUUAAUAUUACCACAAGUGACGAAGCCUGUAUUAAUAUUACCACGAGUCAAGAAAGCCUGUAUUAAUAUUACCACAAGUGACGAAAGCCUGUAUUAAUAUUACCAUGAGUCAAGGACGCCUGUAUUAAUAUUACCACAAGUGACGAAAGCCUGUAUUAAUAUUACCACGAGUCAAAAAAGCCUGUAUUAAUAUUACCACAAGUGACAAAAACCUGUAUUAAUAUUACCACGAGUCACGAAAGCCCGUAUUAAUAUUACCACAAGUGAUGAAAGCCUGUAUUAAUAUCACCACGAGUCACGAAAGCCUGUAUUAAUAUCACCACGAGUCACGAAAGCCUGUAUUAAUAUUACGAGUCACGAAAGUUUGUAGUAAUAUUACCACAAGUCACAAAAGCCUGUAGUAAUAUCACAACGAGUCACGAAAGCUUGUAUUAAUAUUACAAUGAGUCACCAAAGAUUGUGAUAAUAUUACCACCAAUCACGAACUUCUCUACAAGUAACAUUUCUAUUGAUCACGAACUACAGUUAAACAUUACGACAAAAGAUUAACUUUGACAGCGAGUCAUGAAUAAGUUAGAGAUAACUUUAUAUAACGAAUUAGUUAUAGACGAAUCAGGAAUAAGUUACAUAUAACUUUAUACCACGAAUCACGAACUAGAGAUAACUUUUCCCCGAAUUACAAUCUCCUGUAAACAAAACAAACAGCAUUCCACGAAUUAUGGAAUAAUAUUACCUCAACUUUAAGUCAUUUAUACUGAACGCGAUUAAUCUCGAAAGGUGGUAGUAGGUUGUAUAACUCAUCUCACAUGAUUUCUUUAUGCACGUUGAUAUGUCUUAACAUACCCACACGUGAAAAACACAUCGUAUGACGUAUAAUUGUAUUGACACUGCGUUAUUUUAAUUGACAAGAACACGCUCUCGUGAGUCAACUCGAAUAACAAUCUUGCUUAACACAAAUAGCCUAUCUACUUAACACAAAUAGCCUAUCUACUUAACACAAAUAGCCUAUCUACUUAACUCGAAUAACCUUUUUGUUUAACUCGAAAAACCUGUGUAUUUGCAUUGAAUAACAUAUCUGUAUAACUUGAAUAACAUAUCUGUAUAACUUGAAUAAAUAACAUAUCUGUAUAACUUGAAUAACAUAUCUGUAUAACGUGAAUAACAUAUCUGUAUAACUUGAAUAAAUAACAUAUCUGUAUAACUUCAAUAACAUAUCUGUAUAACUUGAAUAAAUAACAUAUCUGUAUAACUUGAAUAACAUAUCUGUAUAACUUGAAUAACAUAUCUGUAUAACGUGAAUAACAUAUCUGUAUAACUUGAAUAAAUAACAUAUCUGUAUAACUUCAAUAACAUAUCUGUAUAACUUGAAUAAAUAACAUAUCUGUAUAACUUGAAUAACAUAUCUGUAUAACUUGAAUAACAUAUCUGUAUAACUUGAAUAAAUAACAUAUCUGUAAAACUUGAAUAAAUAGCAUAUCUGUAUAACUUGAAUAAAUAAAAUAUCUACUUGACACAUAACUGGAGUAAUCUAUCUGCGCUACAGGAAUAGUUUGCAAUAUGGGUCUGCAUAACAUAACCUUGCUUGAGUAAAAUCUGAAACUCGACCAUUAACAUUUUCAAAAUCGAUUCUCUACACAAGCCGAGUCAAAAGGAUGUUUUGAAAAAAACCCACUGGAUAAAGUGCCCUGAGCCUUCGCACUAGUUGAAUUGUCUUGUACAGUUUUACUAUUCGUGUUAGUACGUGUAACAAAUCUUUAUAUAGACUAUAGCCUAUUGUACGACUUACAUUAAAUGUCCAUUACUUUCUUUGUAUUAACUCAUAAGACACACCUGCUCGUGCGCAGUACGCCACAUAGUACGACAUGAGACUCUCGGCAAUGAAAACUGCUCUCUUUUUGUUUUACCUCUGUCUACUAAUAUUUGCCGGGCUUCAGAUUUACGUGGCCUUUGCAUAUUAUGGAAAUAAUAAAAAAAAAAUGUUUUGGAAUCUCGACAGGAAUAAACCUCACAGGCACAUCCAAAUUGACGACUAUGCCAACAACAUUGCUUCAGAAAAUGCGUCUAGACGUCCUCAGUAUGGCUAUGUAACGAAACGUGGUGGAACUAAUAUUCAAGAAGCGACACAAAGUCGCACUGGCGUGCCUUUUAUUCCAAACUGGAAAGACGUGGAGUCAUUUCGCCGGGAUGUAGAGUUCCUCAACCAUCAAGGCUUCAUCCACAAUGAGGUGAAAUUCAAACCGAGGCUGACGGCUGAAAGUAUUGUUAUUCUGGUUCAGGUUCACAGUCGAGCUGACCAGCUGCAGAUGCAGAUAGACUCCUUUAGCAGAAUGAGGUACAUCAACGAAACGUUGAUCAUCUUCAGCCACGAUUUCUAUUCUCAGAAUGUGUUUGAUGUCAUAGCCAAGAUAGAUUUCUGUCCAUAUGUUCAGAUAUUUUACCCGUAUGCUAUUCAGGUGUAUAACAACCAAUUCCCAGGAGAUGACCCUAAAGACUGUCCGAGGAAUUUGGUAAAGGACGAGGCCCGGAAACGGAAGUGUAACAACGCCGAGUAUCAAGAUCCUUACGGACAUUACCGAGAAGCCCCGCAUGCGCAGUUGAAGCAUCACUGGUUGUGGAAGAUGCAGUUCAUUUUCGAGAACUGCUCCUUGCUGCGAAAUUUCGAAGGGAUAAUAUUUCGUCUGGAUGAUGAUUACUACUUGGCAGAGGACACGAUGGACUACAUCAGGAAACUGGAUCGUCAGAGUCGGAUUCAGUGUCCUGAGUGUAAAAUGUACAUCAUGGGUCAGUCCACUGUUUAUUCACACGACGAAUACAAGUCUGGUGCAGCCAAGAAAGAUUACUGGUGGGCAGGAAACGGAAGAGGUAUGGCCUUCAGGAAAGACUUCUGGAAGCUGUUCAAAGAUUGUGCGAAAUCAUUUUGCCUGUUCGACGAUUGUAACUGGGACUGGUCGCUAAUGCACGUGACCGCCAAGUGCAUCCCAGGUGGUCUGAAAAUCUUAAAACCUCUAGGUAGUAGAGUCUUCCAUUUGGGAAGAUGUAAGGGCUUCCAUCAAAAUAGAAGCUGCAAAACGACUGAUGUUCUGAAUUAUGUGCUGGGUAUUUUAAGACGCAACAGAAAUUAUCUCUUUCCUGAAAAUGUGAAUAUUCCUAUCGGUUUUCCUUCUAGAUCUAAGCUGGAUGUACCGAAUGGAGGGUGGACUGAUAUCAGAGAUCAUGAAAUGUGCCUUAGGAUUUUCAAUAACGAGUCCUUGUCGACUACAGACUUUAGAAAAAUACACCAGAAGCUGUUUAAUUGAUACCAUUGCUAGUGUACAUGUAUUUAGAAAACUAAUAUUCAGAACAUUGGAAAGAAAGAAAGAAAAAAACACCAGCAUCAACAGCAAAACCCACAAACAAAAACCCACGUCCUCCCACCCACACCUCCUACCACUUCUCACCAAUGCAUACUGAAAGCAAGAUACCAAAAACUGUUUAAAAUGUGACUGUGUGAUAAACCUAUAACAGACUUUAGAUUUAAAUGAAAUUAUGUAACAACGAAAAUCCGGCUACUGCUACAGAGAAUACAUUUUCACGAAAAUUACCUCGAAAUCAUUUGCAGAAAAACAACAACCCAAGAAGGUGCCUUCGAAUGUCCAGAGCACUAAAACGAAAUACAAAGUCAUUUGGAGGAAGCAACAUUACAACGAAUUAAGAAAGCAUUUGAAGAUUAUAGCAUUAUCAGGGAUUAAUAAAUUAGUUCAAGAUUGCAGCAUAAUCACCAAUUUAAAACUACAUUGUUCAGAUAAUAAAAUUACAAACAUUUCGAAACCGUAUAUGAUUUAGAUAAUAUGUAAAAUUACAAAAAAAAACAAACACAAAACGAUUCUGAAUACGUUUAGAGAUAAUUUAUUUUGUAAACUGAAUAUUUUUGCUCAAUAACUGACGCGAAAAACACAUAGUAACAAAAAUAAUUAUCCCCCUCCUCCUCCCAA
RNAcentral lists this unclassified non-coding RNA (5554 nucleotides) under Gigantopelta aegis. RNAcentral's name for it is "alpha-1,6-mannosyl-glycoprotein 2-beta-N- acetylglucosaminyltransferase-like, transcript variant X3". Lineage: Eukaryota; Metazoa; Mollusca; Gastropoda; Neomphalida; Peltospiridae. The record is from RNAcentral.